GUGUCGAAGCAUUCACACGUCCCUUUUGACAGAUUUCUAAGAAGUGCUUCCGUUUUUUCUUGAAAAGUGGUUGUUAUUUCGUUGCCACACCUACAAAGGAGUGAUUUGGUCUCCCGCUGCCACCCUCCAGAUGCGUCUCUUGGCUCUGUUCGUGGCACUCCUGGCCCUCGUGGGUGCCGCGAGUGCCUUCUUUCCUCUCGCGCGGGGCAAUGGGUUUCAUGUCCGCCAGAACUUCAGAAGAGGUCGUCCGAUAAACGGAGGCCGACCGCGACCCUAUGUCUUCGACGACUUUUUGAGAGGAAAGUAAAAGGAAAAUAUACGACUUACAACGAUGAAUAGAUUCCCUUCACCACUCGCUGUGGCGAACCUUGUCCCAUUUUCUUUGUAUAUAUAUAUUUUUUUCUCUUUUGAUUGAUUGUUUGUAGACUUUGUAUUUUGCGAUGUGAAUAAAUGAUUUAUAAUCAAA
This is a non-coding RNA of Penaeus vannamei (Pacific white shrimp), 466 nucleotides long. Lineage: Eukaryota; Metazoa; Arthropoda; Malacostraca; Decapoda; Penaeidae. The record is from RefSeq and is a predicted model, not a curated record.